AACGAACGCUGGCGGCGUGCUUAACACAUGCAAGUCGAACGCGAACGAUUUUCUUCGGAGAAUCUAGUAGAGUGGCGCACGGGUGAGUAACGCGUAAGUUAUCUACCCUCCCAUCUGGAAUAACCCACCGAAAGGUGUGCUAAUACCGGAUACGUUGGAAACAAGAAAGGUGGCCUCUAUUUAUACGCUACCGUGGGGGGAUGAGCUUGCGUACCAUUAGCUAGUUGGUAGGGUAAUGGCCUACCAAGGCAACGAUGGUUAGCGGGUCUGAGAGGAUGAUCCGCCACACUGGAACUGGAACACGGACCAG
This 310-nucleotide ribosomal RNA is filed under the name uncultured bacterium. RNAcentral's name for it is "bacterial SSU rRNA". It matches the Rfam family "Bacterial small subunit ribosomal RNA", at positions 29 to 334 of the family's 1533-position model. The record is from RNAcentral.